Molecule: long non-coding RNA, 538 nt
Organism: Magnolia sinica
Lineage: Eukaryota; Viridiplantae; Streptophyta; Magnoliopsida; Magnoliales; Magnoliaceae
Exons: 3
Source: RefSeq, a predicted model, not a curated record
GAGAUUUAGAUCUUUGAACCAGUUUGUUUACCUUAAGACAGAAUAGAGCUACCACAGACAGCUUUCACAUUUCAAACAAGCUUGGGGAAGGUGGUUUUGGUUCUGUUUACAAGGGUCUAUUAUCAGACAGUACUUCAAUUGCAGUGAAACAACUUUCAUCCAAAUCAAAGCAAGGAAGCCGUGAAUUUGUGACUGAAAUAGGCAUGAUAUCUACUUUGCAACACCCAAAUCUUGUAAAACUUUAUGGAUGAUGUAUCGAGGGAGAUUCACUAUUGCUAGUUUAUGAGUACAUGGAAAAUAAUAGCCUUGCUCGUGCUCUGUUUGGCCCAGAAGAAUAUCAAUUGCAGCUUGAUUGGCCAACAAGGCACAAGAUUUGUGUUGGUAUAGCAAGAGGUCUAGCUUAUCUCCAUGAAGAAUCGACGCUGAAAAUUGUUCAUAGAGACAUCAAAGCAACCAAUGUACUGCUCGAUCGGGAUCUUAUACCAAAGAUAUCUGACUUUGGCCUGGCAAGGCUUGGUGAAGAGGAGAAAACCCACAU